This 253-nucleotide ribosomal RNA is filed under the name uncultured bacterium. RNAcentral describes it as "partial 16S ribosomal RNA". It matches the Rfam family "Bacterial small subunit ribosomal RNA", at positions 524 to 776 of the family's 1533-position model. The record is from RNAcentral.
UACAGAGGUGGCAAGCGUUAUCCGGAAUUAUUGGGCGUAAAGAGUCUGUAGGCUAUCUGACAAGUUUUCUGUGAAAUUCCAAUGCUCAACAUUGGAGCUGCAGAAAAUACUGUUAGAAUUGAGGAAGAUAGAGGUAAGUGGAAUUCCCGGUGUAGUAGUGAAAUGCGUUAAUAUCGGGAGGAACACCAAUAGCGAAGGCAACUUACUGGAUCUUUCCUGACGCUGAGAGACGAAAGCGUGGGUAGCGAAUGGG